GCCCAGACUCCUACGGGAGGCAGCAGUGGGGAAUAUUGCACAAUGGGGGAAACCCUGAUGCAGCGACGCCGCGUGAGUGAAGAAGUAUUUCGGUAUGUAAAGCUCUAUCAGCAGGGAAGAAAAUGACGGUACCUGAUUAAGAAGCCCCGGCUAACUACGUGCCAGCAGCCGCGGUAAUACGUAGGUGGCAAGCGUUGUCCGGAUUUACUGGGUGUAAAGGGAGCGCAGGCGGCGUGGCAAGUCAGAUGUGAAAACCCGGGGCCCAACCCCGGGAGUGCAUUUGAAACUGCCAUGCUGGAGUGCCGGAGAGGUAAGCGGAAUUCCUAGUGUAGCGGUGAAAUGCGUAGAUAUUAGGAGGAACACCAGUGGCGGAGGCGGCUUACUGGACGGUAACUGACGCUGAGGCUCGAAAGCGUGGGGAGCAAACAGGAUUAGAUACCCCGGUACU
Molecule: ribosomal RNA, 448 nt
Filed under: uncultured bacterium
Lineage: Bacteria
Description: bacterial SSU rRNA
Rfam family: Bacterial small subunit ribosomal RNA
Source: RNAcentral